RNAcentral lists this ribosomal RNA (506 nucleotides) under uncultured bacterium. Its description in RNAcentral is "partial 16S ribosomal RNA". It matches the Rfam family "Bacterial small subunit ribosomal RNA", at positions 29 to 523 of the family's 1533-position model. The record is from RNAcentral.
AGUGAACGCUGGCGGUAGGCCUAACACAUGCAAGUCGAACGGCAGCACAGGAGAGCUUGCUCUCUGGGUGGCGAGUGGCGGACGGGUGAGGAAUACAUCGGAAUCUACUCUGUCGUGGGGGAUAACGUAGGGAAACUUACGCUAAUACCGCAUACGACCUACGGGUGAAAGCAGGGGAUCUUCGGACCUUGCGCGAUUGAAUGAGCCGAUGUCGGAUUAGCUAGUUGGCGGGGUAAAGGCCCACCAAGGCGACGAUCCGUAGCUGGUCUGAGAGGAGGGUCAGCCACACUGGAACUGGGACGCGGUCCAGACUCCGACGGGAGGCAGCAGUGGGGAAUAUUGGGCAAGGGGCGCAAGCCUGAUCCAGCCAUACCGCGUGGGUGAAGAAGGCCUUCGGGUUGUAAAGCCCUUUUGUUGGGAAAGAAAUCCAGCUGGCUAAUACCCGGUUGGGAUGACGGUACCCAAAGAAUAAGCACCGGCUAACUUCGUGCCAGCAGCCGCCGUAA